Molecule: ribosomal RNA, 252 nt
Filed under: Triticum aestivum (bread wheat)
Lineage: Eukaryota; Viridiplantae; Streptophyta; Magnoliopsida; Poales; Poaceae
Description: partial small subunit ribosomal RNA
Source: RNAcentral
AUGUUUCUGCUUCACGAAUAUGAUAUUUUUUGGACAUUUCUAAUAAUAGCAAGCCUUAUUCCUAUUUUGGUAUUUUCGAUUUCAGGACUUUUAGCCCCGGUUAGUGAAGGACCAGAGAAGCUUUCUAGUUAUGAAUCGGGUAUAGAACCCAUGGGAGGGGCUUGGGUACAAUUCCGAAUACGCUAUUAUAUGUUUGCGCUCGUUUUUGUUGUUUUUGAUGUGGAAACCGUCUUUCUAUACCCUUGGCAAUGA